RNAcentral lists this long non-coding RNA (581 nucleotides) under Phoenix dactylifera (date palm). Its description in RNAcentral is "long non-coding RNA (PDAC_LNC021068)". Lineage: Eukaryota; Viridiplantae; Streptophyta; Magnoliopsida; Arecales; Arecaceae. The record is from RNAcentral.
AGAACAUAAGAAAGUAAUUAAUAAAAAUAAAGACUCUAAAAGAAGAAAAUCAAUCUCUCAUUAAAGAUAAGAUAAAACUGUCUCAUAACUAUGAAACAUUAAGUAGGAAACUUGAAAAUGAAACCAAAAAUCUAAUUGCUGAAAAUGUCAAGCUAAAAGAAGAUGCUGAAAAAUAUAAGUCUUUGGUAGAUAGAUUUACUCUUAGUUCUACCAAAUUAAACUUGAUUCUUGAUAGCCAAAAAGCUGUAUAUGAUAAGGCCGGUUUAGAAGAUAUAGAACAAAUAGGAAACAAAAAUUAUUAAAGAAUAUUUUUGUAAAAGCUAAAAGUGAAAAUAUUACUUGUUAUUGUUGCAAUAAGUUAGGACAUAGAGCAUAUGAAUGUAACUUUAGAAAAUCUAAUCAAAACAAAUUAAGUAAUAAUCAAAAGAUUAAAUUCAAAAAAGUUUGGGUUCCAAAAGGAACAUGGAGCACUAACCCUAAAGGACCUUAGUUUGGGUACCUAAAGUUUCUUCUUGAUCUUGAUUGCAGGUGUGUCUUGCAGCUGAUAAAAUGGAAAAACGAUGGUAUCUAGAUAGCGGCUA